Scomber scombrus (Atlantic mackerel) is the source of this 456-nucleotide long non-coding RNA. RefSeq lists it as uncharacterized. The transcript has 4 exons. The record is from RefSeq and is a predicted model, not a curated record. NCBI's taxonomy places the organism in Eukaryota, Metazoa, Chordata, Actinopteri, Scombriformes, Scombridae.
CAUGAAUCUCAGGAUCAAUAGCAGGGCUGCACGGGUCUUUGGUCGCCAGUUGGCUGUAAUCGGAGACCAGCUGGACCAGGAGCGGGCCAGUCGACAGCUAAACUGGUUACCGAUCCCUCUGCACAUACUGAGACCUGCUCAGGCACUGACCAGGAACAUCUAUCGAGAUAUCCACAGUCAGUUAUGGAGCUUCCAGGGCUUGUCUGCUGCAGUGAAGGCCUGGAUAGCAAGCACUGCACCUGGGCAGGGGAUCCUCAGAUCUGAGACCUGGGUGUCCAAUUUUAAAGCGGCAACUUGCACUGGCUGGACCAGAGGAGCACUGGUGACUGUGGCACUGGUGGCUGCAGUGACCAUUUUCAGUGCAUUAUGGAUGGAAGGGAAAGCCUAAGUGGCCACAAGCAGGUCUUUCGGCCAUUGAAUAUUUAACAAAAAAAAAGAUGUUUGCAAAUAAGUGAG